Molecule: ribosomal RNA, 254 nt
Filed under: uncultured bacterium
Lineage: Bacteria
Description: partial 16S ribosomal RNA
Rfam family: Bacterial small subunit ribosomal RNA
Source: RNAcentral
UACAGAGGGGGCGAGCGUUGUUCGGAAUUACUGGGCGUAAAGGGCGCGUAGGCGGCCUCUUAAGUCGAACGUGAAAUCCCCGGGCUCAACCCGGGAACUGCGUCCGAUACUUGGGGGGCUUGAAUCCGGGAGAGGGAUGUGGAAUUCCAGGUGUAGCGGUGAAAUGCGUAGAUAUCUGGAGGAACACCGGUGGCGAAGGCGGCAUCCUGGACCGGUAUUGACGCUGAGGCGCGAAAGCCAGGGGAGCAAACGGG